GGCGACUGUGUUGGUUUUGCCAUAUUGUCACUUUCACCUCACAUGCUGGGGGAUAUUUCAAGAAGCAGGAUUACUGAGUUAGCUUGACUACUGGUCUGAGCAAAGCCCGCAACAACUCUUUACUCCAGUCUUGGGAAGGUUCCGGGUUUUAAUGAGUGCGGUUAUCUAGCUAACUGAGAAUAAUCCUGCUUCGUGAAACAGGGCCCUGUUCGGCAAUAUUUGCAGUGUAUGCCUUUUCGAUCGUUAGGGUUAUCUACGAAACAGGAGGCUGCAGGACCGUAUUUUUAAAACGAACACUAAUCGAACGCUUCAAUACAAAAGAUCACUACGGAUACAAACAUAACAUUUUUGUUCUUCUGUGACGUCAGUGAACACCGCGGGAUUUUUGCCAGAACAUAUAUAACGUGGAGUGAUCUAGUGUUUGCCAUAAUGAGCAACGGUUUUGGCAUUGUCCAACCCAAUCGAUUCGUUGUAGCAAUAAACGAGACUUGGUCAGCAGGAAAUCACCUGAGGAGAUCAUCAUCCUCAAAACUGUGACCACUGGUUAUACAUCACUUACUGGGUCAAGGACACCAGCUUGCUUUCGUCAACCAGCAGCUCAAGGUAGUAGAUCAUCAUCCUCAAAACAUAGACCACUGGUUAUACAUCACUUACUCGGUCAAGGACGCCAGCUUGCUUUCGUCAACCAGCAGCUCAAGGUAGUAGAUCAUCAUCCUCAAAACAUAGACCACUGGUUAUACAUCACUUACUCGGUCAAGGACACCAGCUUGCUUUCGUCAACCAGCAGCUCAAGGUAGUAGAUCAUCAUCCUCAAAACGAUGAGCACUGGUUAUACAUCACUUACUGGGUCAAGGACACCAGCUUGCUUUCGUCAACCAGCAGCUCAAGGUAGUAGAUCAUCAUCCUCAAAACGAUGAGCACUGGUUAUACAUCACUUACUGGGUCAAGGACACCAGCUUGCUUUCGUCAACCAGCAACUCAAGGUAGUAGAUCAUCAUCCUCAAAACGAUGACCACUGGUUAUACAUCACGUACCAAGUCAAGGACAGCAGCUUGCUUUCAUCAGCCAUCAGCUCAAGGUAGUAGAUCAUCAUCCUCAAAACGAUGAGCACUGGUUAUACAUCACUUACUGGGUCAAGGACACCAGCUUGCUUUCGUCAACCAGAAGCUCAAGGUGGUAGAUCGUCAUCCUCAUAACGAUGACCACUGGUUAUACAUCACGUACCAAGUCAAGGACACCAGCUUGCUUUCAUCAGCCAUCAGCUCAAGGUAGUAGAUCAUCAUCCUCAAAACGAUGAGCACUGGUUAUACAUCACUUACUGGGUCAAGGACACCAGCUUGCUU
This is a long non-coding RNA of Anguilla anguilla (European eel), 1343 nucleotides long. RefSeq lists it as uncharacterized. The record is from RefSeq and is a predicted model, not a curated record. Lineage: Eukaryota; Metazoa; Chordata; Actinopteri; Anguilliformes; Anguillidae. The transcript has 10 exons.